Molecule: ribosomal RNA, 253 nt
Filed under: uncultured bacterium
Lineage: Bacteria
Description: partial 16S ribosomal RNA
Rfam family: Bacterial small subunit ribosomal RNA
Source: RNAcentral
UACGGAGGGUGCAAGCGUUAUCCGGAUUCACUGGGUUUAAAGGGUGCGUAGGCGGGCAUGUAAGUCCGUGGUGAAAUCUCCGAGCUUAACUCGGAAACUGCCAUUGAUACUAUCUGUCUUGAAUACCGUGGAGGUCAGCGGAAUAUGUCAUGUAGCGGUGAAAUGCUUAGAUAUGACAUAGAACACCAAUUGCGAAGGCAGCUGGCUACACGAAUAUUGACACUGAUGCACGAAAGCGUGGGGAUCAAACAGG